This 1341-nucleotide ribosomal RNA is filed under the name uncultured bacterium. Its description in RNAcentral is "partial 16S ribosomal RNA". It matches the Rfam family "Bacterial small subunit ribosomal RNA", at positions 28 to 1381 of the family's 1533-position model. The record is from RNAcentral.
GACGAACGCUGGCGGCGUGCUUAACACAUGCAAGUCGAACGGUAAGGCUCCAGCUUGCUGGGGUACACGAGUGGCGAACGGGUGAGUAACACGUGGGUGACCUGCCCUGCACUUCGGGAUAAGCCUGGGAAACUGGGUCUAAUACCGGAUAGGACCGCACCGUGAGGGUGUGGUGGAAAGUUUUUUCGGUGUGGGAUGGGCCCGCGGCCUAUCAGCUUGUUGGUGGGGUAAUGGCCUACCAAGGCGGCGACGGGUAGCCGGCCUGAGAGGGUGGACGGCCACAUUGGGACUGAGACACGGCCCAGACUCCUACGGGAGGCAGCAGUGGGGAAUAUUGCACAAUGGGCGGAAGCCUGGUGCAGCGACGCCGCGUGGGGGAUGACGGCCUUCGGGUUGUAAACUCCUUUCACCAUCGACGAAGGGUUUCUGACGGUAGAUGGAGAAGAAGCACCGGCUAACUACGUGCCAGCAGCCGCGGUAAUACGUAGGGUGCGAGCGUUGUCCGGAAUUACUGGGCGUAAAGAGCUCGUAGGUGGUUUGUCGCGUCGUCUGUGAAAUUCCGGGGCUUAACUCCGGGCGUGCAGGCGAUACGGGCAUAACUUGAGUACUGUAGGGGAGACUGGAAUUCCUGGUGUAGCGGUGAAAUGCGCAGAUAUCAGGAGGAACACCGGCGGCGAAGGCGGGUCUCUGGGCAGUAACUGACGCUGAGGAGCGAAAGCAUGGGGAGCGAACAGGAUUAGAUACCCUGGUAGUCCAUGCCGUAAACGGUGGGCGCUAGGUGUGGGUUUCCUUCCACGGGAUCCGUGCCGUAGCUAACGCAUUAAGCGCCCCGCCUGGGGAGUACGGCCGCAAGGCUAAAACUCAAAGGAAUUGACGGGGGCCCGCACAAGCGGCGGAGCAUGUGGAUUAAUUCGAUGCAACGCGAAGAACCUUACCUGGGCUUGACAUAUACAGGAUCGCGCCAGAGAUGGUGUUUCCCUUGUGGCUUGUAUACAGGUGGUGCAUGGUUGUCGUCAGCUCGUGUCGUGAGAUGUUGGGUUAAGUCCCGCAACGAGCGCAACCCUUGUCUUAUGUUGCCAGCACGUUGUGGUGGGGACUCGUAAGAAACUGCCGGGGUUAACUCGGAGGAAGGUGGGGAUGACGUCAAAUCAUCAUGCCCCUUAUGUCCAGGGCUUCACACAUGCUACAAUGGUCGGUACAGUGGGUUGCCAGUCCGUGAGGGCGAGCUAAUCCCGCAAAGCCGGUCUCAGUUCGGAUCGGGGUCUGCAACUCGACCCCGUGAAGUCGGAGUCGCUAGUAAUCGCAGAUCAGCAACGCUGCGGUGAAUACGUUCCCGGGCCU